Molecule: long non-coding RNA, 323 nt
Filed under: Homo sapiens (human)
Lineage: Eukaryota; Metazoa; Chordata; Mammalia; Primates; Hominidae
Description: HSALNT0135363
Source: RNAcentral
GGAUUUGUAACCUCAAAUUUAAAUGGCAGGCUGGAGACAGAAGACAGAGCCUUAUGUGUCUGCUAGAAUGGGAUCUAGAACAGAGACCCCUGAACAAAGCUGAAAUUCUCACCCUCAGAGAAAAGGUGUGAACCAUUGUGCCCAGCUUCCAUUUCCUCUUUGCUCUCCAACACAUAUGGACUCCUACUGUCAUCCAAGUUGUUUCACUUAAAACUUACCAGGUUUCUGAAAACCAGAAACAGAUGGACUAAUCCAAACUCCUCAGAACAGACGGCUUAUCAAACUCCCCGCCUUGAGGACCCGGGGCUCCCCUGCGGAGUGCA